CCUACGGGUGGCAGCAGUAGGGAAUAUUGCUCAAUGGGGGAAACCCUGAAGCAGCAACGCCGCGUGAAGGAUGACGGUUUUCGGAUUGUAAACUCCUUUUGUUAGAGAAAAUAAUGACGGUAUCUAACGAAUAAGCACCGGCUAACUCCGUGCCAGCAGCCGCGGUAAUAAGGAGGGUGCAAGCGUUAUUCGGAAUCAAUGGGCGUAAAGAGCGCGUAGGCGGGAUAGCAAGUCAGAUGUGAAAUCCUAUGGCUCAACCAUAGAACUGCAUUUGAAACUGGUAGUCUAGAGUAUGGGAGAGGUAGGUGGAAUUCUUGGUGUAGCGGUAAAAUGCGUAGAUAUCAAGAGGAAUACUCAUUGCGAAGGCGACCUGCUAGAACAUAACUGACGCUGAUGCGCGAAAGAGUGGGGAGCAAACAGGAUUAGAUACCCUUGUAGUC
Molecule: ribosomal RNA, 440 nt
Filed under: uncultured bacterium
Lineage: Bacteria
Description: partial 16S ribosomal RNA
Rfam family: Bacterial small subunit ribosomal RNA
Source: RNAcentral